GACUGGCCCAAUGUUACUGGGUUAUCAGAACUUAUUAUUAUUAGUGUCACUAAAGUUGCAUAUACCCCUCACGGUUAAAUUUGGCGGGGCUUUA
This 94-nucleotide small RNA is filed under the name Saimiri boliviensis boliviensis (Bolivian squirrel monkey). RNAcentral describes it as "Y RNA (ENSSBOG00000000700.1)". The record is from RNAcentral. Lineage: Eukaryota; Metazoa; Chordata; Mammalia; Primates; Cebidae.